RNAcentral lists this long non-coding RNA (2646 nucleotides) under Sus scrofa (pig). RNAcentral describes it as "lncRNA (ENSSSCG00025044548.1)". The record is from RNAcentral. Lineage: Eukaryota; Metazoa; Chordata; Mammalia; Artiodactyla; Suidae.
AUGUACACAUAUCCAUUCUUUUUCAGAGGGGCCAGUCCAACUCAAAGAAUCAUUUUUUUUUUUUCCUUCUUGAAGGAGUUAGGCUCCUGUGAAUCCUACAAAGCCGAGGCUGCUGACCAGAGCACUCAUUCAAGUUAUCUGAGUGGGGGUCUCCUGACUCACCAGGAUGUGGAGAAGGAAAUGCCCCUGUUGGAAAAUGCCAGGGUUCAGAGACAAGAGACAGGCAUUCCAGUCCUUGUCCUGCCACCAACCUACAUCACUGCGGUAAGUUCUUCAAACUCUGUGGAUGUCACAAUCAUAAUUUGGGAGGUCACGUUUGAAUUAAAUAAUCUCAAAAGUCUUUCCUACCUUUAAGAGUUCUGCGUCCCUUUGAUUCAUCAGUUCAACUCAGUCAUCCACUCAGCAAAUAUUGAAUACCUUCCUAUGCAAGGUACCGUGUUGGAUGCUAGAAAUACAAUUAAGGGUGACCCUGCCUUCAGGGAGCUUACAGAUUAAAGGCAGGGGCAGACAAUUAUAAAUGACCACAUGGCUUUAUUCCUGGGAUGAAAUAGGUAUCUCUGUGGACCAAAACAAUUCACAUUUCACAUCCUUUUUGCCAUAGAACCUUCUCUGAUAGAAUUAGAUUUUCAGGAUCUUCCUAUUGGAAAGAAGUAAAUCUCUUCAUUUAAAAAAUUAUUUACAUACAGAAAGUUUGCUUGAGCAUUUUUGUGAUAUCCCAACAUGGAGUGUAUUAUUGUUAAGUUAUUGUUAUAAAUUUUCAAGUUCAUAACCCCCCCUUACCUUUGCCUUUAGAGGGGAGGUACAUAGAAGAAGAGAAAGUAUAAAAUGCUGUUAAGGUGUCCAUGCUGAUAAAUUCAUCCUUGAAUAUAAAUUUGCAUUCUAAAUUGGUUGUUAAGUUCUCAGCCUCAUGGAAGCAUAUGUUCAUUAAUAUUCAAGAAUAACUGUCUUCUGUAAAUAUCUUCUGUCCAGCUUCAAGGAACUUAGUAGAAUAGAAGGGAGUACCAUCUCUCUUUUUCAGUUACUCCCUCUUAUUCUUGCCUUAAAAGUCUGUAUGUUUUCUGGGCACUUCCCAGUGCAUCCUGUGCCUGAGUGAAAAGGAGAUGCAGAGUCUUUGUGUGGAUGUUUGCCAUCAGCAUGGGGUAUGUGUGCAAACAUCUGUGGUGUCUAUUCACUCUAUGUGGGAGCUGUGCUGUGUGGGCUUCUGCAUCCCCCCACCCCCACAUCAAUCCUCACUCCUGGGGUAAUUUUAUAGGUAAUGAAGACUCUAUUUUCUGUAACUCCAAGGUACAGUGAACCACAGGGAGCUGGGGCUGACUGGCCUCUCAGAAUUUCUCUUAUCCUACCUUAUCCUCAUGCCCGUGGGCUUGCCCUAGCCCAUCUCCAGAAUCCUGUGUGCCUUCUUCAUUCUCUUCCAAGUUCUCUUGCAGAGAAAAUAGAGUGCUGCAUAGUAUUUCAGAACCACCCUCUAUGGAAAGUUGUAUUUUCCAAAGAAGGCUGCUAGAGUAUCUCUCCCCUCAUAUUUUUCUUCAGUGUGAAUGUUUGACUCCCUCAUAUCAUGAAGAGAAGGUGCUUUCUACCUUCUUGGAUCUGGGCUCGCAUAAGUAUCUUACUUGAACAAUAGAAUGAAUUAGUAGGGAUAUUCUGGAGCAUCGGAGGCUACUUCAUAAGAAAUCUUGGAGCUGCUGCCUGCAAAGAUUGCUUUUAGACAACUAGUUCUUAUCAGAUCUCUCACACCCAAACCAAUGUAGUGAAAAGCCCAAGUCACAUGGAGAGGCUACAUGCAGGUGUUCUUGCUGAUGGUCUCAUUGAGGCCCAAGCUGACACUCAGUAUCAAGUCCUAGCCAUAUGAGUGAGUAAUUUUGCACUCCUGGCCUAUGACCCUUCAGAGUUCUCCAGAUCCACCUGCUAACUGGUGGAUACUGCAUGAGAAAUACCUAGUAAGACUAUCCAGUUGAACUUAUUCAACUGAUAGAACUGUGGAGAUAACAUAAUGUUAUUUUAAGCCAUUACGUUUUGAGCUAGUUUGUUACACACUGAUAAUUUAUGGAAGCACCUUCAAAUGUUAUGAGAGAGUCUGUUGGGUCAGGCUUUUGGAGGAAGAAGAAAAAGUUCAAUAUUCCUUUUAUUCCCCCCACCCCCACAACCCAGGAAGGGAUUGAGAAAGAGGCAAUAAUGCGACCUAGCAAUCCCUCUCCUGGGAAUAUAUUCAGAUGAAACUAUAAUUGAAAAAGAUACAUGCACUCCUUUGUUGAUUGCAGUACUAUUCACAAUAGCUAAGACAUGGAAACAAUCUAAAUGUUCAUUGACAGAUGAAGGGAUUAAGAAGAUACAGUAUAUAUAUCCAAUGGAAUAUUAGCCAUAAAAAGAAUGAAAUGAUGCCAUUUGAAGCAACAUGGAUGGACCUAGAGGUUAUCAUAUUAAAUGAAGUAAGUCAUAAAGAGAAAGAUAAACGCAAGAUACCAUGUACAUGUGGUAACUAAAAUAUGACGCAAAUUAACUUAUUACAAAACAGAAACAUACAGACAUAGAGAACAGAUCUGUGGUUGCCUAGGGGAGUUGGGAGAGGAAUGAACUGGGAGUUUGGGGUUAGCAGAUGCAAAUGAUUAUAUGUAGGAUGAAUAAACAACAAGUUCGUACUGUAUAACA